This 719-nucleotide long non-coding RNA is filed under the name Marmota monax (woodchuck). The record is from RNAcentral. Lineage: Eukaryota; Metazoa; Chordata; Mammalia; Rodentia; Sciuridae.
CACUUUAAACGGGUGGAUUGUGUGUUAUGUAAAUUUAUCUCCAUAAAGUUCUAUUCAGAAAAAGGAUAUCUGAAAAUGUAAUGCCCUUAUUGACUAACUCAAUAUUUACAGGAGGCUGCAAUGUGCUGGGGGCUUGUUAGAGUCUAAGAUAAGAGAUCCAAUAAACCCCAGGCCCUGUCCUUAGGAAACUUACAUCCUGGUGGCAAGAAAAUGAAAUGAGUGUUUUUAUAAGGAUUCUAAUGGUGGAACUUUAUAGAAGUAGGAAACAUUUGGGAUUGAUGCCUUUUAGCACCCCUAAAAUCACUUCCACAUGAGUAGCAAGUUGUGUUUGUUAUUGUAUGUGCGAUAAUGAACAACUGAACAGUCUUUUCAAGUUAAUAAAGUACUUUCAUAUAUAUAUUAGCCUCAUGUGACCUGCCUAUAAAGUAGAAACUACUUCCUUAAUUUUACAGAGAAGUGAUCUAGGUCACACAACUAAUUAGUGAAAAAACCAGGACUCAAAUUUUCUAAGACUUUUUCAAAUUAACUUUUUCAAAUUAAUAAGUCCCAUCCAUCGGGUCUCCCAAGCCAGAAAUCUGUUUACCUUUACCACUACCCCAACCAGUCACUAAGUCCUGGAAAGCCUGUCUCUUCUAUAUCUGUACCUUUUGAGGGGCUCAUCAAUUCUUCCAUUUUCUGGAAGACACAAGGACUCUGACCUCACCUCCUUCAGUACAUUC